AUUGAACGCUGGCGGCAUGCUUUACACAUGCAAGUCGAACGGUAACAGGCCGCAAGGUGCUGACGAGUGGCGAACGGGUGAGUAAUGCAUCGGAACGUGCCCAGUCGUGGGGGAUAACUACUCGAAAGAGUAGCUAAUACCGCAUACGAUCGAUGGAUGAAAGCGGGGGACCGUAAGGCCUCGCGCGAUUGGAGCGGCCGAUGUCAGAUUAGGUAGUUGGUGGGGUAAAGGCUCACCAAGCCAACGAUCUGUAGCUGGUCUGAGAGGACGACCAGCCACACUGGGACUGAGACACGGCCCAGACUCCUACGGGAGGCAGCAGUGGGGAAUUUUGGACAAUGGGCGCAAGCCUGAUCCAGCAAUGCCGCGUGCAGGAAGAAGGCCUUCGGGUUGUAAACUGCUUUUGUACGGAACGAAACGGCUCUGGUUAAUACCCGGGGCUAAUGACGGUACCGUAAGAAUAAGCACCGGCUAACUACGUG
This 482-nucleotide ribosomal RNA is filed under the name uncultured bacterium. RNAcentral's name for it is "partial 16S ribosomal RNA". It matches the Rfam family "Bacterial small subunit ribosomal RNA", at positions 30 to 507 of the family's 1533-position model. The record is from RNAcentral.